Molecule: ribosomal RNA, 495 nt
Filed under: uncultured bacterium
Lineage: Bacteria
Description: partial 16S ribosomal RNA
Rfam family: Bacterial small subunit ribosomal RNA
Source: RNAcentral
GAUGAACGCUGGCGGCGUGCCUAAUACAUGCAAGUCGAACGCUGAAGGAGGAGCUUGCUCUUCUGGAUGAGUUGCGAACGGGUGAGUAACGCGUAGGUAACCUGCCUGGUAGCGGGGGAUAACUAUUGGAAACGAUAGCUAAUACCGCAUGACAACAGUUAUUGCAUGAUAACUGUUUAAAAGGGGCAACUGCUCCACUACCAGAUGGACCUGCGUUGUAUUAGCUAGUUGGUGAGGUAACGGCUCACCAAGGCGACGAUACAUAGCCGACCUGAGAGGGGGAUCGGCCACACUGGGACUGAGACACGGCCCAGACUCCUACGGGAGGCAGCAGUAGGGAAUCUUCGGCAAUGGACGGAAGUCUGACCGAGCAACGCCGCGUGAGUGAAGAAGGUUUUCGGAUCGUAAAGCUCUGUUGUAAGAGAAGAACGAGUGUGAGAGUGGAAAGUUCACACUGUGACGGUAUCUGACCAGAAAGGGACGGCUAACUACGUG